GGGGGUAUAGCUCAGUGGUAGAGCAUUUGA
RNAcentral lists this non-coding RNA (30 nucleotides) under Xenopus tropicalis (tropical clawed frog). The record is from RNAcentral. Lineage: Eukaryota; Metazoa; Chordata; Amphibia; Anura; Pipidae. RNAcentral also lists the same sequence under 7 other names.